This 253-nucleotide ribosomal RNA is filed under the name uncultured bacterium. RNAcentral describes it as "partial 16S ribosomal RNA". It matches the Rfam family "Bacterial small subunit ribosomal RNA", at positions 524 to 776 of the family's 1533-position model. The record is from RNAcentral.
UCCGAAGGGGGCUAGCGUUGUUCGGAAUUACUGGGCGUAAAGGGCGUGUAGGUGGUUUGGUAAGUCAGGUGUGAAAGCCCUGGGCUUAACCGAGGAAGAGCAUCUGAAACUGCCAAGCUUGAGUACGGGAGAGGAUGGCGGAAUUCCCAGUGUAGAGGUGAAAUUCGUAGAUAUUGGGAGGAACACCGGUGGCGAAAGCGGUUCUCUGGAUCGAUACUGACGCUAAGACGCGAAAGCGUGGGGAGAAAACAGG